CAAUAAGCGGAGGAAAAGAAACCAACAGGGAUUACCUCAGUAACGGCGAGUGAAGCGGUAAAAGCUCAAAUUUGAAAUCUGGCUCUUUCAGAGUCCGAGUUGUAAUUUGUAGAAGAUGCUUCGGGUGUGGUUCCGGUCUAAGUUCCUUGGAACAGGACGUCAUAGAGGGUGAGAAUCCCGUAUGUGACUGGAUACCUAUGCUCAUGUGAAGCUCUUUCGACGAGUCGAGUUGUUUGGGAAUGCAGCUCAAAAUGGGUGGUAUAUUUCAUCUAAAGCUAAAUAUUGGCCAGAGACCGAUAGCGCACAAGUAGAGUGAUCGAAAGAUGAAAAGCACUUUGGAAAGAGAGUUAAACAGUACGUGAAAUUGUUGAAAGGGAAGCGCUUGCAAUCAGACUUGCACUUGGUGUUCAUCAGGGUUUCGUGCCCUGUGUACUUCAUCAAGUUCAGGCCAGCAUCAGUUUGAGUGGUUAGAUAAAGGCUUGGAGAAUGUGGCCCUCUUCGGGGGGUGUUAUAGCUCCAGGUGCAAUGUAGCCUACUUGGACUGAGG
RNAcentral lists this ribosomal RNA (547 nucleotides) under Sclerotinia sclerotiorum. RNAcentral describes it as "LSU rRNA". It matches the Rfam family "Eukaryotic large subunit ribosomal RNA", at positions 44 to 594 of the family's 3401-position model. Lineage: Eukaryota; Fungi; Ascomycota; Leotiomycetes; Helotiales; Sclerotiniaceae. The record is from RNAcentral.